Molecule: non-coding RNA, 144 nt
Organism: Lupinus angustifolius (narrow-leaved blue lupine)
Lineage: Eukaryota; Viridiplantae; Streptophyta; Magnoliopsida; Fabales; Fabaceae
Source: Rfam
UAUGCCUCUUGAAUAACCACACGGUGAAACAAAGAAAUCCUGUUUGGUUCAGACAGAGGCGCAUAUCAAGUGUCAAACCGCCGAAUUCGUUUGAGGGUAUGGAUUGCUUUCUCUGCAUCCUUACCUAGAUUUAUUCGGACAUCC